Molecule: unclassified non-coding RNA, 342 nt
Filed under: soil metagenome
Description: partial contains 5.8S ribosomal RNA, internal transcribed spacer 2, and large subunit ribosomal RNA
Rfam family: 5.8S ribosomal RNA (bases 1-120)
Source: RNAcentral
GAUGAAGAACGCAGCGAAAUGCGAUAAGUAAUGUGAAUUGCAGAAUUCAGUGAAUCAUUGAAUCUUUGAACGCACAUUGCGCCCGCCAGCACUCUGGCGGGCAUGCCUGUUCGAGCGUCAUUUCAACCAUCAAGCCCCCAGGGGCUUGUGCUGGGGCCCUGCGGCUGCCCGCAGGCCCUGAAAACCAGUGGCGGGCUCGCUAGUCACACCGAGCGCAGUAGCACAUCUCGCUCAGGGCGUGCGGCGGGCUCCUGCCGUGAAACCCCCCACUGUAACCCCAAAGGUUGACCUCGGAUCAGGUAGGAAUACCCGCUGAACUUAAGCAUAUCAAUAAGCGGAGGA